This 1264-nucleotide long non-coding RNA is filed under the name Homo sapiens (human). Its description in RNAcentral is "LHRI_LNC257.2". The record is from RNAcentral. Lineage: Eukaryota; Metazoa; Chordata; Mammalia; Primates; Hominidae.
CAUUAUACAGGGCGACAGGCAUGGCAGCAGUUUCUGGUGCACAUGUUGCCUGUCUCCCGGUGACAGAAGAUAACAGAGGACUAAGAGCGCACAUAUACCUCAAGAGCCCUAAGGCUGCCACAGGAGAGUAAACAACUCCACCCAGCACUGCUCCAGGCCGGCUCCAGUUCAAAGUGCUUCGGGGGACCUUUUCUUCUCACAGCAUCAACAUAAAUGGCCGUCUUCUAUAUGUGAGCACUCAGCACUCCUGGCAAUUUCGUGGCAGCUGUGUGGCGAUAAGAGGCCCUUUAUUUUUUCAAGCACAUUUGUGAAGUGUGUGGGGAGCCGACUAAAAUUAAUGAACUUUUCUUGCCAAAAAGAACUAGGCUCCAAAUUCGGUCAUGUAUUGCCAAAUAGACGGUGUGAAUGAAAGUCAGUUCGUGGGGAGAAUAAGAACAUUUCAAAGGAGCACAAGUUGAAUACAAGCAGUCCCUGACUCACUUAUGUGGACUUAAAGAUAUUCCUCAUCUGGGAAAAAUAAGUCCAGACCUAUAGCUGCGUCGACCACAGUUCCCUCCAUCCCCAGUUUCUCUCAGCCCUCUGCAUCCCCUCAACCCCCACCUUCCCUCCACUGCUGCCUGGGUCCGCCAUCUGCCGGCCCUUCCAUCCUGUGGUCAGGCACCUGCCCUCACCUGGCUCACCCCAGGGCCCACAAUUGCACAGAGUAAAAAGGAGAAAGGAAGGAAUCUCCAGUAGAAGCUUCUCUGCCCUGGGGCUGGCCACCUUCCAAACCUUAAACCUACUGAUACGGUUUAGCUGUGUCUCCACCCAAAUCUCAUCUCGAAUUGUACCUCCCGUAAAUUCCUACACAUUGGGGGAGGGAGCCAGUGGGAGUUAUUAAUUGAAUCAUGGUGGACUGUUCUCGUAGUAGUGAAGAAGUCUCAUGAGAUCUGAUGGUUUUAGAAAGGGAAACUUGUUUCGCUUGGCUCUUACUCUUGUCUGCUGCCAUGUGGAUGUGCCUUUCACCUUCCGCCAUGAUUGUGAGGCCUCCCCAGACACAUGGAACUGUGAGUCCAUUAAACCUCUUUCUUUUGUAAAUUGCCCAGUUUCGGGUAUGUCUUUAUCAGUAGCAUGAAAACAGACUAAUACACCUACCCAGAUCCUGCCUUCUCCAACCCUAAACACCCAAAUCUGGGUUUUCUACUAAAAAAGAAAAGAAUGUUUUAUCAUUUAUCCCAAAUUCCAUGACACUCACCUCCAUGGUCUUUGCUGUUACCUGGCAUUU